GACUGCCCAAGAGAUCGGGAUAACACCUGGAAACAGAUGCUAAUACCGGAUAACAACAGAUGAUGCCUAUCAACUGUUUAAAAGAUGGUUCUGCUAUCACUCUUGGAUGGACCUGCGGUGCAUUAGCUAGUUGGUAGGGUAACGGCCUACCAAGGCGAUGAUGCAUAGCCGAGUUGAGAGACUGAUCGGCCACAUUGGGACUGAGACACGGCCCAAACUCCUACGGGAGGCAGCAGUG
Molecule: ribosomal RNA, 238 nt
Filed under: uncultured Lactobacillus sp.
Lineage: Bacteria; Bacillati; Bacillota; Bacilli; Lactobacillales; Lactobacillaceae
Description: partial 16S ribosomal RNA
Rfam family: Bacterial small subunit ribosomal RNA
Source: RNAcentral